GUCCACGCCUAACGAUGUCUACUAGUUGUUGGUGGAGUAAAUCCAUGAGUAACGCAGCUAACGCGUGAAGUAGACCGCCUGGGAGUACGGUCGCAAGAUUAAACUCAAAUGAAUUGACGGGGCCCGCACAAGCGGUGGAUUAUGUGGAUUAAUUCGAUGCAACGCGAAACCUUAACCUGGCCUUGACAUGUAACGAACUUUCCAGAGAUGGAUUGGUGCUCGAAAGAGAACGUUAACACAGGUGCUGCAUGGCUGUCGU
This 259-nucleotide ribosomal RNA is filed under the name uncultured bacterium. RNAcentral's name for it is "partial 16S ribosomal RNA". It matches the Rfam family "Bacterial small subunit ribosomal RNA", at positions 793 to 1055 of the family's 1533-position model. The record is from RNAcentral.